AGCCGCGCAGUGAGCACAGAGCGAACUAUUCUUUCGCCUUUUACUAAAGAAUACCGUGUGCUUGCUGCAUCCAGUGGCAUACACCUAUUUUUGGAGGCUUUUCUCUCUUUUGAGAAAG
This 118-nucleotide small nuclear RNA is filed under the name Nelumbo nucifera (sacred lotus). RNAcentral's name for it is "U5 spliceosomal RNA". It matches the Rfam family "U5 spliceosomal RNA". Rfam says of the family: U5 RNA is a component of both types of known spliceosome. The record is from Rfam by way of RNAcentral. Lineage: Eukaryota; Viridiplantae; Streptophyta; Magnoliopsida; Proteales; Nelumbonaceae.